AGAAAAAAAUGUAGAUGUGUUUGCUUUAAAACAAACAAACAAAACUAAAACCCAAAUGAACGAUCUAUUAAAAUACAAAACAUGAAAAACAUAAAGACCAUAUGUGACUGAAAGCAAAAGACCUUCAGUAGGCUGAGACCAGAAAUCAUGCCCUUGGAAAGAAAAGAGUAUUCUAGUACAGAGUAUUGUAUAAGAGUAACUAUAUACUUGAAGCAGUAAUUAAGUGUUCUUUGGAAACACUGUGAAUUUGGAAUAAUUUGUAGAUAAACAUAUAGCACUGGUUUCAAGCUUGGCAAUACAUUCUAUGGUUUCCACUGUAUUUGUAUUGCAUGCAAUUGUUCCUACUAGUUUGGAUUUGGAAUAAUUGCUAUAGAAUAAUAGAGUCCUUUGAAUUGCAACACUUAAAGCCCAUAUAGUCUAAUUCCCCUCCAAUGAACAGGGACACUUAUAGCUAGAUGAGGUUGCUCAGAGCCCCAUCCAGCCUGACCUUGAGUGUCUCCAGGGAUGGGACAUCCACCACCUCUCUGGGCAGACAGUUCCAGUACCUCAACAUGCUUAUUGUAAUAAGCUUCCUUAUAUCCAAUCUAAGUAUCUCCUCCUUUAGUUUUCGGGUCUCCACAAUUCUUUAGAUAUAGCCAAGGAUACAAUUGUCUUUCCGGUCUAUGAGGGCACACUGCUUGCUCAUGCUCUCUUUACCAUCCAUCCACCAGUACUAAGUCCUUAUUGGCAGGGCUGUGCUCAAUCCAUUCAUCUCUCAGCUUGUAUUGAUAGUGGGGGUUGCUGCAACCCAAAUGCAUGACCUCACACUUGGUUUCCUGAAUCUCAUGAGAUUCUCCUGGGCCAACUGCUUGAGCUGUUUUAGAUCUCUCUGGAUGGCAUCCCAGGUGUGCUGACUGCAGCAUGCAGUUCAUGUGAUAUAAACUCACAAAAAUAAUUAUAUUUUUUUACUGCAGAUCCCCAAAUUAACACCUGAAUUUUAAAAUAAGGUAUAAGUGUAAAUUUUAAAGAUUAUUAGCAGAGCAGUUGUAAUCAAUCCACAUAAUUACUUUUAAAUUCUCAGUCUUCUACUGUUACUGGUGAAUAGACCCCUCACUGAUUAAACAGUAGGCAUUUUUUCUUGGUAAUAUAUUCAGAAAAAUCAGUCUAAAGUAAGAAAACUUUUUUUCUCAGGAAGAUCCUUCUUCCUAGCCUUACAAAAUAUCCUUAUCAGCAUCAUCUUACUUCUUAAUCCUUUAUGCUAUAAACCUAGGGACAAUAAUAAUCUUCAGAAGGUUUGGAUAAUUUUUGGUUUUGAAUAUUUUCAGCAUGUGCCACCAGGGAUGUGUCGUGAUCACUGGAGCAAGACUGACAUCUUUUAUAUAUCGGACUUUGAUAGGAACAAGUUUAAUGGCAGCAAUCACAGAAGCUUAACCAAUUUACUUGCUGCGGUUAAAAUGUUCUGCAAUGGAACAAAUAGUCUUUUUUAAUUUUUCUGUACAAAAUUGUGCAUUAAGAGCUUUAAAACAAUUGCCAAAUUGGUGUUAGAGUUUACAAGGAAACUGUUCUUUUGGAGAAUGCAUUGAAAUAAGAGACGAAAGCACAGAACACAUAAACUAUACGUGGUGAAAAUGUGAACGUUAGAAAACACUGCAAAACAAAAAUAUUGAUAAAGCUUUUAUUCAUGUAUCCUGCAAGAGCCACCUAUCUUUGCUGACUGAUAUAUUGAAAUUGCAGUAACCCAGGAGUUCAGAAUUUGACAGACUCAAAUCUGAGAAGUAACUUAAUAAGUUUUAUAGCUUCAUAAAUGAAUGUCAAUACAAUCUGCACAAUUAUAAUGUUUGCACUUAGUACAGUUUGUCCGCUGGAAAACUGUUUUUCUGUUGAGUAAGUAGUUUGAAUACCAUGGGAGCAGAAGGGAAGUUUGAAAAAAAACUCUCUCCAUGCAAUGUAGAAUCUCAGCAACACUCCUACAUCUCUCUGUUAAAUUUCAGCAGUGAGCUGUCGUUGAAAAAUAAUCCCUGUAAUUCAUUACUCCCAUUAAAUUAUGAGUAGGAUUUUUAACAGGGAAACUCAUUUAUUAAUUUAAUUUAAUUUAACCUUUCUGCCUUGUCACUGAAAUUACGUCUGUUUGCCUUUCUGAUGUAAAAUAAUAUAAAAGAGCUAAGACAAAAUGUGAUCAAAAUAUGAUCAAUCUUACAAAUGUUUAGCGAUAAGCAUUGUAUCUGUGUUUCAACAUUUAUAGUAGAAGUCUUUAAAAUUUCAUAAUUAUUGAAUCCUUACUUCAAUAAUCUUCAGCAGACUGCCAGUAACUGUUGCCUUCAGUAGCUCUAUGGAGGUUGUGCUUCAGAAUUCAAGAGAUGGGAUGGAUUUGGAGGUAGUGAAGAAGGUAGUACUGCAGGAGACUUGAAGGAACCCAAAAAUGAAGGUGGUCAUAGCCUUUACUGAAAAUGAGGAGGCAGCAGGCUCUUAUCUGAUGUCAAACUCCCUUUCCAGACUUUGACAAGCACCAGGAGCUGCAUCAAAACCAUCAGAGUGAGUUUCUGCAGAAGGUUGUUCAACUGUAAGUGACGUAAAUGAGCCCAUUGUUUCUCCGAGUUGGGGCAUUUUGUCCAUGUAUAUAAUACAACUGUGAAUCGACACCAGAGAAAUGAAAUCUGUAAUUAAUGUCUUCUGCACAGGGAAAUAGCAGCCAGAGUGAGCUGAGAGUGAGACCAGGCAGGAGGAAACUGCAGAGCUCAGGGAAAUGAGAUACAAAGAUAAGGAACAGUCUGAAGCAUGCAACACAUAGACAAGGCAUCUGUACUCAGAGUGCACUGUUCAGUGGUUGUUUU
Molecule: non-coding RNA, 2810 nt
Organism: Coturnix japonica (Japanese quail)
Lineage: Eukaryota; Metazoa; Chordata; Aves; Galliformes; Phasianidae
Source: RefSeq, a predicted model, not a curated record